AAUUUUAGAUUGUUAAAAAACAGAUCUAAAUAGUUUAAGACAUUUGCUUGUUCAUUGAUAUAAUUUUAGACUAAUGGCACCACUGUUAUAUUUUCAGAUAAACAUAUUAGGUUGAAAGCUGAUGUUGAUAAUUAUUCCAUUCAAGAGCAUUUAUAAGAAUCGCUCUUUGGGAGCCUAUGUCUUGACCAUAAAGAAAUAUGUUAUUCUCAGUGAUGUGACAAAAAUUCUUUCAUUUUUGUUAUCAAAGUUCAUGAUUGGGCUUCUCAACAGAAAUUCAUUUCCCAUAAACAAACCCAAAGAUGGCAGUCCUUUGAAUUUUUGCAAAAUGUGUUCAUACUCCACUGCAUACAAAGGAAAUCUUAAAACACACAUGUUGGUUCAUACUGGAGAGAGACGUUACGUCUGCAACAUUUGUCAUAAAUCUUUUAGCUUGAAAGGAAAUUUAAAAACUCACAUGAGGCUACAUUCUGGUGAGCGUCCUUACGAAUGUGAUAUGUGUGAUAAGAAGUUCACACAACAAUCUGCGCUUGUAAGUCAUCAAAAAAGUCAUGUGAGAUGGAAUGAACCACAAACACAAGAUUUUGACUAUCAACUGUAAUUGAAAACAAAAAAAAGUGCACCUUUGAGCAUUUCAAUAACGUACAAAAUUGUUGUAAGAAGACUGCUGAUUUUAUGUGGCUUAAUGCAUUCUUUUUGGGAAUAUCUCUGAUCAUAUUUUCUUUUUUUAAAAAAAUUCGGCAAAGAAAUAGUGUUUUUUCAUUUACUUCUAAAGACUAAUUAAUAAAUUGAAAAUAAAAUAUUUUAAAAAAGUUAAAAUAAAAUAGGUAUUUCAAACAAAAUAUAUUACAAAAUAAUAAUUAGAUUAUUAAUUCUUCAGAGGCAUCACUUGCUUUGCCCGCUGUAGCCUAACAAAAUUAUUUUUCAAAACUCCUUGUACAUUUUGAAAUAUCAAGAUUUUUAAAAUGGUGUUUAUAUCUUUGUUUGCUGUUGACCCAAAUGACAUUGGUUUAUGCCCCCUAGAUAAUUAGAAAUCUCAAAAAGUCCUCUGUAUUGUUUCAGACAUAAAUAAAAUUUUCUGAAUCAUCAUCAACAUAAAUUUAGUUAAGUUAAAAACAUUUUAAGAAAUUUAAAAAUGAUUGAUCAUUUAUUAUACAUUUAGAUUUAUUAUACAUUUCUACAUGUUUGGUAAUUCUAUGAAAAAUUGAGAAAUCAUUCAUUCUUUAUGGGAAAUAGAUAUUCUUUUAGUAAGUUUUGAACUGUUUGUUAAAAUCAAAACGCUCUGGUACCAAUGAGGUCAAAUUAAAUAGGAAACAUUAUAUAAUAAAAGUCAUGAUUAUUAUAAAAAAUAGUACCAAAUACUAAAAGGUAUAGUUAUGAUCAUUCAAAAUGUUUUACUGUUUUGUUCUAGUUUUAUUGUUUACAUUCAUAAUGUGGUAUCAAUUAAAAUGUUAAACAUAUAAAAAUUUCCAACACUGUUGCAGAAAGAGAAAACACAGUUUCCACAGAAAAACUAAAAACAGUUAAAACUAGUGUGUUUGAGUUAUUUCAUCAUCCAGGCUUAUGUUUACUAUUUAAAAAGAUAUCUUAUUGUUACUGUUUAUAAAUUUAAAAAUAACAUGCACAGAAUUUGUUUGAAAGCUUUUGUCAUUUUUAAAGAAGGAAACAAGCCUUAAAGAAAAUAUGAUCAGAACAACAUAUUACUAUAACUUUUAUCAUUUUCUUUGUCUAGAUUUUAGCAGAACGGACUUGGUAAUGUAGUGCUGCUUAUUUAUUAACCCAUUGAGUGGCUUUAUCUGCAUAUUGUGUUGCUUAAGCCUGUGAAUAAUCUAUGCAAAAGCUGAAUAUCAGUGACAAAUCAUUUACACUCACAGGUUUUUUUAUGUUACAGCCACUCAGCGAGUUAGUGAACUGCUUUCCUUUUCAGUCAAGCUUAUGUCAUAUAUUCUGGUUAGAAAAGUAAUAUUCUCAUAUAAGUAGUAUUUUUGUAAAGCUUUUGUGACACCAUAUAAUAUUUUGUGCAAUGUAUUUAUUUUCAGAGUAGACGCUGUCUGAUUCAGUAUCAAAUAUCAGUAUGUAAAAUGUUAGCUGUGAGCAUUACAAAACAAGGAGAAUCUGUAAAGUUUUUCUAGUAUGCUAUUGGAAAUUGGUGUAAUUUAUUGAGUAAGCUAGUACAGUAUUUUAGCAACGCUCAAUCUUUCUUUAAAUAGGAUAUAAAAUAUUGUUACAUAUUCUAUGAAAAAUCAAAACAUUUUUUGAUUUGAUUUCGAACAUGCAUUAAAAGAAACGAUAAAUAAAUUAUAUGCCAAAUGUUUUAAUCACAAUUUCUAUUUCUUCCUUUAAAUGUUUGUGAUAUUUAAUAUGUUUUAUUAUAAUUUCUAAUUAUAUGGCACAAAUCUUUUUUAUAAAGAAGUAUUAAAAAUCUCUUUUUAGACAUUUGUAUACUUAUAAAUAAAGACAUAAACAAUAAAUUUAUAACAAUAGAUAAAUAAAUAUUUUCUAAUUUUUAAUAUCUUAGUCAUUUUUAUUUAAAUGUGUUUUAAUUCAUUUGAAUAUAUUUAUUUAAUUUGAGUAGAUAAAAUUUAAAAUUGUCUUCCUUAUAUUAAUAUGCAAUCAAAGUGUGAUGAGUUAACUUGAUUUAUCAGUGCCAUUUUAAAUUCUUUUUGCAUAAUCUGUCCAAAAUUAUUGAGAGCAUUUCAUAUUUAAAAAAAUAAAGAGAUACCUAGUAUAUGCUUAUUGGCUUCUUUGAAAGGUAGAUUCAUAGAGUUCUACAUAACAAAAUUUUAAAUGUUAAUUUUUUUCUACAUGAGUUGAACAUGAACAUAAUCAAACAAAAAAUUCACUCCAUUUAGGACCAUGCUUAUCAAACUGAUACUUUUUGUCCCAUUUCUAUGAAGAAUAUUUAUUGAAAUAUUUUCAUAUUGAAAAACAAUGUGUUUUAUCAGUGUUAAUAUGUGUGUUAUAAAACCCUGAUAUUGAAACAAAUUUUAAGUACAAUAUUAGUAGAAGAAUAUAUACUUUUUUUUAAAAUUGUAAGUUGUUAUUAUUAUUUAUUCUGAAACUCUUAAAAAUAUUUCUUAUGUUUUGCUGUUGUGCAAGCUUAGAAAUUAAAGAAAAUUCAUUAUUGGAUUUUACAUAUUGUAGGAAAAAAGAGACCAAGAAAUAAAAUUCCAAUAUGAAAAUACUAAUUAUAAUAAUAUUAUACCUUAUGUAACAUUAUUAAUAUUUUAACAUUACUGUAUGUAUAAAAAUGAGUUCAACCUAUAAAAGCGCAAAUGAUCUAAUUUGCUAAUUUCAGGCAAUUGUUUCAAUAUUAUGAGAAGCACCAUCAUCAACAUUUGAUUCUGCAGCUUGACUAUAAUAAUGGUGCUUCUCAUAUUAUACUGCAACUAUUUCCUGUCUUUGCAAACUUCCAUUAUUUGUGCUUUUGUAGAUUGUGUUUUGCUUUUUAAUUUUUUUUUCUUAGAAAUAUUUAGCCUACUAUAUUGUGAUAUAGUAGUCUUUUUUUAAUAAUUAUGAUCUGUUCCCUUAAAUUGUAUGUUUUCUUUGUUAAUUUCUUUUUAUAUACAAUUAUUAUUUAACAAAACUUCCCCGUUGUGAUAUUUUUUUUUCUUCAAAAUAAUUUCAAAAUUAAUAAUGUUUCUUGAUUUGACAAAUGUAUUUGUUAAUUUGGGAAAGAAAUACUGCAUCUAAAAAAUUGAGCCUAUUUCUUUUUUAAAAUUAACAAGACUUAAUUACAAAAAUGUAUUGUAUAAAUAUUCUCAGAACAAGUUAGCUAAAAGGUCAAAAUGAGUUUGAUGAUUUGCAUUAUGGUGCAUUUAAUUUAUUAUUCCUGUAGUUUUCUUUUGUAUAAGUUUGUGUGAUUGUUAACAUUUAACGACUGUUUUAACUCAUUUUUCUCUUUCGCUAUUUGACACCAUUUUAGUUCUUGUUUUUACAUAUUUGUCUUUAUUGAAUGCAUGUUAGUAAAAUUAAUCUGAUUUUCAAAUAAUUUUUAUCUAUUUGAAAAGAAAAAAAAUAUAUUUUCAUCAUUGUUAUGUAUUAUUUAUGGCUUAUUAUUCCUGUGUGAUAAAAAAUACUUCAUCAAAAAAUUUAUUUAUUUGAAACAAAAGUCUUUUUGUUGUUUUAUUGUGAUAUUUAAUUUUUUUUUUUUUAUGUUAUCAAAAUGAAGCAGCUUUAUUGAGUGAUAUUUACUAUGCAUUAUAUGUACAUGAAGUUUUAAAUUCAAAACUUCUGUAUGCUUCUGUGUGUUUAGAAACAAACAAGUAGUUUGCUGUGUCAAAGAUAUAUUAUACAUAUACUAUAAUCAUUUUCUAGUCUGUAGUGUGCAAAUCAAAACAUAGAUAUCUUUCAUAUAUGUAUAUGUGUGUGUGUUAGCAUGUAUGUACAAUUAGCUAUUUUAGAUGAAUUUGUUAGAAUUAUAUCAAAUAAAAAGGACAAACAUUU
Non-coding RNA from Parasteatoda tepidariorum (common house spider), 4443 nucleotides. The record is from RefSeq and is a predicted model, not a curated record. NCBI's taxonomy places the organism in Eukaryota, Metazoa, Arthropoda, Arachnida, Araneae, Theridiidae.